GUCCAUGCCGUAAACGUUGGGAACUAGGUGUGGGUCUCAUUCCACGAUAUCCGUGCCGCAGCUAACGCAUUAAGUUCCCCGCCUGGGGAGUACGGCCGCAAGGCUAAAACUCAAAGGAAUUGACGGGGGCCCGCACAAGCGGCGGAGCAUGCGGAUUAAUUCGAUGCAACGCGAAGAACCUUACCAAGGCUUGACAUAUGCGAGAACGCGGCAGAGAUGUCGUUCUCUUUGGACACUCGUAUACAGGUGGUGCAUGGUUGUCGU
This 264-nucleotide ribosomal RNA is filed under the name uncultured bacterium. Its description in RNAcentral is "partial 16S ribosomal RNA". It matches the Rfam family "Bacterial small subunit ribosomal RNA", at positions 793 to 1055 of the family's 1533-position model. The record is from RNAcentral.